AUAACAUUAGGACCGUCGGUCUACUGAGCAAUAUCACCCGCUCGGUGGAAGAUCUUCCCUUUGUCGU
Molecule: microRNA precursor, 67 nt
Filed under: Bombyx mori (domestic silkworm)
Lineage: Eukaryota; Metazoa; Arthropoda; Insecta; Lepidoptera; Bombycidae
Description: mir-2774 microRNA precursor family
Rfam family: mir-2774 microRNA precursor family
Source: Rfam by way of RNAcentral